GCUGAGCUUGAUGGCUUGUGCCUCUAGUCCCAGCUAAUCAGGAGGCUGAGGUAGGAGGAUCAGUGAAAUCCAGGAGUUCUGGGCUGCAGUGCACUAUGCCCAUCAGGUGCCCACACUAAGUUUGGCAUCAAUACGAUGACCUCCUGGGAGCAGGGGACCAUCUGGUUGCCUAAGGAGGGGGUGAAUCGGCCCAGGUUGAAAGCAGAGAAGGUCAAGAAUCUAAUGAAAACUGGACCAGGGAUAUAGGUCAGCAGCAUAAGCACUUGCCUGGCAAGGGCAAGGUCCUGAGUUUGAUUUCU
Molecule: signal recognition particle RNA, 299 nt
Filed under: Cavia porcellus (domestic guinea pig)
Lineage: Eukaryota; Metazoa; Chordata; Mammalia; Rodentia; Caviidae
Description: Metazoan signal recognition particle RNA (ENSCPOG00000034154.1)
Rfam family: Metazoan signal recognition particle RNA
About the family: The signal recognition particle (SRP) is a universally conserved ribonucleoprotein. It is involved in the co-translational targeting of proteins to membranes.
Source: RNAcentral